Molecule: long non-coding RNA, 753 nt
Filed under: Ananas comosus (pineapple)
Lineage: Eukaryota; Viridiplantae; Streptophyta; Magnoliopsida; Poales; Bromeliaceae
Description: long non-coding RNA (ACOM_LNC011778)
Source: RNAcentral
AAGAGAGAAAAUUUUAAAUACCACUUCUGUAAUUUUAUAUUUUUUCAUUUUAGUAUUCUAUGAUUUAAAGUGUAUCAAUUUAGUAUUUUAUGAUUUCUUUUUUAUCUUUUUUUUUUGAUCGAUUUUAUUAAUUUUUUUUGUUAAAUCAGUGACAAAAUUAAAACUAAAGAGUACUAAAGUAAACAUUUGAUAAACCUAAGUGAGAUAUCUGAAGGUUUUUGUAUAUAAUUUAAAGAAAUAUUAACGAAAAAGCUGACGAAAAGAUAAAAAUGAAACCACAGGACACUAACUUGAUUUAUGUUAAACUAUAGGGCAUUAAAGUGAGAACGUGCGAAACUACAGGGGUGAUAUUUGAAGUUUACCAAAAAAAAAAAAAAUCGAAUAAACUUCAAAUAUCAUUCAUAUAGUUUCACACUUUUUUAUUUUAGUCCUCUGUGAUUUAAAGUGUAUCAAUUUAGCAUCCUUUGGUUUUAUUUUUUUCUUUUCGUCAGCACUUUCAUGAACUUUUCGUUAAAUCAUAUACGAAAAACUUCAGAUACCUCAGCUAUAGUUUAUCGAAUAUUCACUUUAGUACUCUUUAGUUUUAACUUUAUCACUGAUUUAACGAAAAAAAUUAGUGGAAGGGAAUAAUAAAAAAAUAAAAUAAAAUCACAGGAUAGGAAAAUAAUACACUUUAAAACACAGAGUACUAAAGUGAGAAAAUGUGAAACUACAGGGAUGGUAUUUGAAGUUUUUCUAAAAAAAAUACUAUUU